GUGCUGGUGAGAACCUGCUGGCUGUUCAAACAGGUCGGCAUCACAGAGGAUUAGGGGCUGAUGGACACGACCCACAUACUGAGACGCUUCCCUGCAGGCAAAGCUGAGGCAAAGAAAAAGUCCAUGAUGGUGUCAUGAUGUGACGGAUCGUCAGGUGUCAGACUGGUGAUGACGGAGGAGAUUGGACCUGUGUAGUCAGGUGGUAAUUCUCUGCGGGAGCGUUACUAGGGGAGACAUCUUCCUCGUCUUUAUGGAAGAGACUUUAAGGAAGAAGACGUGACAGCACUGGACACACAGCUCGACUGAACUCUCAGCAUCCCGUCAUCGCCCCACAUCAGCCCCCUCCUCCCCAUCCUUCUCUCCUUGUUUUCACAGUGUUAACAAUCAGGCUGUGGCCCUGAGUGUUCCGGGGGCCUAAUUGGGCCGACUGCUGGCGUUGAUUGUGAUGGAUGGAGGGGGGCUGGAGCCAGGACCCGCUGUGGACGAUUCUUUCAUCUGCCUUCUCUGGCCUGUUGCACAAGAAGGGGAUGGAGAAGAUGCCUUCCUGGGUAUUAAUCAUCUGAAUAUGGACCUGUGAAUAAAGUUGUACCUCAGAAUAAAGGUGUACGUCACUGAAAAUCUAUCAUGUCAGUAACAAAUCAAACUCUCUCUAGGCCUGGAUAGUACUGUUGCUUCCAAGAGUUUGCGGUAGUCUCUUUUGUGGAUGGCGGCAAGUGUAUCCAGCUCAAUUCACACCAGUUAAAAUGGCUUUCAGUGGCAACUCCUCUAAACAAUUUUGCAGCCUUAUCCACUCGUAAUUUAUGUAUUCACUAAAACAAGUUUUUCACAUAAACAAAAGUCAAAUGAUGUGACAGCGCUUUGGUCAAAUUUAAGAUUUGGUUAUGGCAAAGAUCAUAUUUGGUUUAAAAGAAAUAAUUUGCUCAUGUUAUGGAAAGUGGUUUAGAUCAAACACAUGGUUAAGGUUACAGAAUGAUGGUGGCCGUUGUUUUCAUUAUUUUGAAAAGGGGAAACAAACAGAGGUUAUUCAUUUUAAAUUCCAACUAUCUAACCUGACCAAAUUCUUCGGUCACAGA
Hippoglossus stenolepis (Pacific halibut) is the source of this 1073-nucleotide long non-coding RNA. RefSeq lists it as uncharacterized. Lineage: Eukaryota; Metazoa; Chordata; Actinopteri; Pleuronectiformes; Pleuronectidae. The transcript has 3 exons. The record is from RefSeq and is a predicted model, not a curated record.